Long non-coding RNA from Pomacea canaliculata, 1185 nucleotides. RefSeq lists it as uncharacterized. The record is from RefSeq and is a predicted model, not a curated record. Lineage: Eukaryota; Metazoa; Mollusca; Gastropoda; Architaenioglossa; Ampullariidae. The transcript has 4 exons.
CUACGUGUUCUCUUGCUGCCUGUCCUAACUGCUUGAUGUUUGUAAGUGCCAGAUGUUCAUUGUAUGGCACUCUUGACAUUUGCUUCAAGCUCUUGAUUUUAUUUAUGUCUUCCUUUGUCUACAACUUGACAAGGGGUCACAUUCCUCUGUGUGUGUUCCUAUCAAGCUGAUAUUUUAUUUUGAAGUACUUGUGUGUCUGUGAAAGAAUGCAUCGCUCUCUCCUCCUCACUGUGUGUCAGGAAAACCGCGAAAGGUGAUGACAUCGGUUAAAAUCCAACACACACUGACAGCGAACUCUUUACGGAUACGAAAAUGUGCACAUCUUCCCUACUCCUCCACCCCUGUCCUCCAGCAGGAUGUCUGACAAGCAUUAUAAUCAGCAGGUGCUCACCUCACAGUAACGGAUGUUUGCUAGGGCGAACAUCCCACAGACAUCAGGAGUGACAGGAGUAUUUGUGACCUGACCACCCAGCUCGCUAUUUUACAAAGUUCGCUCUCCCAGCUGACAACUUUUCUCUGGUUUCACCACCUUUACAACAUCAUCUUGAAACAAGAACAGGUUGCAGACAGUCGUUGCUCGUGGAGACGAUGCAGGAAACAAGAACCAAAUGGCACAAUUGCUGUUGUGGAUGACCAUCGCCUUUUGUUGGAUGACAGUCGCCUCGGCGUGCAGUUGUGUGAUACCCAGGGAUGAAAACUACUGCAACAGUGAUAUCGUGUUUCGAGGAAGAGUUGUAGAUGAAUAUCCGGGAUCCCAUGCCAUCUGGAAGACGAACCUACGUUGUUGAAGUCGACAGAAUCUUCUGCUUAAACAGACGUUUGUUUGGAAGGAGAUUUAAUCUGACUACUGCACUUACAGCGCCGCUUGUGGAGCUUCCUUUCAAUUAAACACACCCUACGUCAUUGCUGCCGGCGAGAGGGAUGGACAGCUAUCGACUGGUUUGUGCUCAGGAAACGCUGGAUGGAACGGUCUUGAUGAAAAACGGAAAUUGUUUUUCACAAACCGACUGCGAAAAUUGUGUGCUUUGAACAAGCGCCUGGAAUAAAGUCACUUCUAGAAGGAGACAAACAGCACGUGCGCAUCACGUGACCUAGCCACGGUGUAACACGGCUAUCACGUGACGCCAUCGUAACCAGGGCAACCUCUUUUUGUCCUCAAUUAAAUAAACUUGGCAUUUGGUUGUU